Molecule: ribosomal RNA, 326 nt
Filed under: Paramecium primaurelia
Lineage: Eukaryota; Ciliophora; Oligohymenophorea; Peniculida; Parameciidae
Also listed under: 4 other names
Description: SSU rRNA
Rfam family: Eukaryotic small subunit ribosomal RNA
Source: RNAcentral
GCUCGUAGUUGAAAUUCGAGUCAGUUACUAGUUGGCUUUUCGUCAGUUAGUUAAUUGAUUCUCCGUCUACAAUCCCUUUUGCGCUUUAGGGUUGCAGCUGGGCGAGUAGACAAUUUACCUUGAAAAAAUUAGAGUGUUCCAGGCAGGUCUUCGCCGGAAUACAUUAGCAUGGAAUAAUGGAAUAGGACUUGGGUCUUUUGUUGGUUUUAGGACUUGAGUAAUGAUUAAUAGGGACAGAUGGGGGCAUUAGUAUUUAAUUGUCAGAGGUGAAAUUCUUGGAUUUAUUAAAGACUAACUUAUGCGAAAGCAUUUGCCAAGGAUGUUUU